GAUGAACGCUGGCGGCGUGCCUAAUACAUGCAAGUCGAGCGAACGGACGAGAAGCUUGCUUCUCUGAUGUUAGCGGCGGACGGGUGAGUAACACGUGGAUAACCUACCUAUAAGACUGGGAUAACUUCGGGAAACCGGAGCUAAUACCGGAUAAUAUUUUGAACCGCAUGGUUCAAAAGUGAAAGACGGUCUUGCUGUCACUUAUAGAUGGAUCCGCGCUGCAUUAGCUAGUUGGUAAGGUAACGGCUUACCAAGGCAACGAUGCAUAGCCGACCUGAGAGGGGGAUCGGCCACACUGGAACUGAGACACGGUCCAGACUCCUACGGGAGGCAGCAGUAGGGAAUCUUCCGCAAUGGGCGAAAGCCUGACGGAGCAACGCCGCGUGAGUGAUGAAGGUCUUCGGAUCGUAAAACUCUGUUAUUAGGGAAGAACAGAUGUGUAAGUAACUGUGCACAUCUUGACGGUACCUAAUCAGAAAGCCACGGCUAACUACGUG
Molecule: ribosomal RNA, 497 nt
Filed under: uncultured bacterium
Lineage: Bacteria
Description: partial 16S ribosomal RNA
Rfam family: Bacterial small subunit ribosomal RNA
Source: RNAcentral